AACGUGUCGCGAUGGAUGACUUGGCUUCCUAUUUCGUUGAAGAACGCAGCAAAGUGCGAUAAGUGGUAUCAAUUGCAGAAUCAUCUAAUUACCGAAUCUUUGAACGCAAAAGGCGCUUGGAAGCAGCUCUUCGUGAGUGAUCUCCAGGCAUGCCGUAUUUCUCAGUGUCGA
RNAcentral lists this ribosomal RNA (171 nucleotides) under uncultured eukaryote. RNAcentral describes it as "5.8S ribosomal RNA". It matches the Rfam family "5.8S ribosomal RNA". From Rfam's summary of the family: 5.8S ribosomal RNA (5.8S rRNA) is a component of the large subunit of the eukaryotic ribosome. It is transcribed by RNA polymerase I as part of the 45S precursor that also contains 18S and 28S rRNA. The record is from RNAcentral.